UACAUAGGGGGCAAGCGUUAUCCGGAUUUAUUGGGCGUAAAGAGUGCGUAGGCGGUUCGUGAGGUCAGUCGUAAAAGAUCAGGGCUUAACCCUGUAGGGCGAUUGAAACCGGCGGACUUGAAUAUGGUAGAGGCUAGUGGAAUUCCAUGUGUAGCGGUGGAAUGCGUAGAUAUAUGGAGGAACACCAAUGGCGAAGGCAGCUAGCUGGGCCAGAAUUGACGCUGAGGCACGAAAGCGUGGGGAGCAAACAGGAUUAGAUACCCUGGUAGUCCACGCCGUAAACGAUGAGAACUAAGUGUUGGCGCAAGUCAGUGCUGAAGUUAACGCAUUAAGUUCUCCGCCUGGGUAGUACGGUCGCAAGACUGAA
Molecule: ribosomal RNA, 367 nt
Filed under: uncultured bacterium
Lineage: Bacteria
Description: bacterial SSU rRNA
Rfam family: Bacterial small subunit ribosomal RNA
Source: RNAcentral